This 71-nucleotide transfer RNA is filed under the name Candidatus Psyllophila symbiotica. RNAcentral's name for it is "Enterobacteriaceae bacterium Cmel17 tRNA-Glu". It matches the Rfam family "tRNA". Rfam says of the family: Transfer RNA (tRNA) molecules are approximately 80 nucleotides in length. Their secondary structure includes four short double-helical elements and three loops (D, anti-codon, and T loops). The record is from RNAcentral. Lineage: Bacteria; Pseudomonadati; Pseudomonadota; Gammaproteobacteria; Enterobacterales; Enterobacteriaceae.
GUCCUCUUCGUCUAAGGGUAGGACACCGCCCUUUCACGGCGGCAAUAGGGGUUCAAAUCCCCUAGAGGACA